This 229-nucleotide ribosomal RNA is filed under the name uncultured bacterium. Its description in RNAcentral is "partial 16S ribosomal RNA". It matches the Rfam family "Bacterial small subunit ribosomal RNA", at positions 568 to 796 of the family's 1533-position model. The record is from RNAcentral.
UACGUAGGCGGAAGAUUAAGUCAGUGGUGAAAUCCUGCAGCUUAACUGUAGAACUGUCAUUGAUACUGGUUUUCUUGAAUUUAGGUGAGGUAGGCGGAAUGUGUAAUGUAGCGGUGAAAUGCUUAGAUAUUACACAGAACACCGAUUGCGAAGGCAGCUUACUAAACUAUGAUUGACGCUGAGGUACGAAAGCGUGGGGAGCGAACAGGAUUAGAUACCCUGGUAGUCC